GGUCCCGCGCGGUGUCCCACUUUCCUCCUCCUGGACGACGCGACUCCGACGCUGCCCCUCCCCAGUAGGAGACGCCCUCGGGGGCACAGAGUCCCCCCAGCCACGGUCCAGACGGUGCCAAGCCGUCACACGGGCUCCCCCCUUCCCUUCUCUGACGGGAGUCUCUCGAUGCUCCCUGGGCCCUUUUGUCACCCAGUGGCUCCUCGUGCACCGCUGGCGCGAUGGGUGGUGGCGGUCCUGCGCCCAGCGCGUGGCGUGUCUGCCCCUGAGGCAACCGGCACACGGUAGGGGACAAAGGCUGAGCCCUUGACCCCUUGUCCCCAUGAUAACUCCUUGAAGAUCCCCAUGACUUUCACCGGCAUGGCCGUGACUGUGGACCCACGCUUGUCCUCCCAGAGGAUGGGGAAAAGGAAACCGGCUAAUGCCAACACGAAAGCAAUACGAGCGAGACCAAAGCGACGAUGUGGUGACAGGGACCGUCUUGUGACAGCUGUGUCACUUUGCAUCUGUUUCCCGUGGCACGAGGGAGGGACAGCACUUACCGCUGCGAAUUUUAUUUCUGUAUCUUGCUCACUGUCAGCCUCCUGCACGGGCAUGCACUUCUACAAGGGUCCUGAUCUUGCGGUUUGUGAAUUCAAGCCCUGCAC
Suricata suricatta (meerkat) is the source of this 647-nucleotide long non-coding RNA. RefSeq lists it as uncharacterized. The record is from RefSeq and is a predicted model, not a curated record. Lineage: Eukaryota; Metazoa; Chordata; Mammalia; Carnivora; Herpestidae. The transcript is spliced from 3 exons.